CUCCGCUCUCGCUUUACCUGGCUUUGUUUGUGGGAGUCGAGACUAACCGCUAGACAUGCCUUAAGUACUUCCGUAACAUGGUGAUGUCAUGAUGACAUGACAUACAGUAUAUAACAGAAAACAGGGAACAGCAUAGUAGUUCCCCUUUAAUUGCUUUUUGGACCAUGUGAAUUUCCCCUGGGCCCUGCCUGCUUGUGUUGGAGAGCAGUGAAAAUCAGGAGACAAGCCACACAAAUUGAACACAGGGCAAUAAUAAUCAGAAAACAUUUAUGAGCUCUCCUGUCUGAAAGCUGACAUGUUGAAGGGGAGACACGGCUGGAGUGCUCCGAAGAACACAGCCAGAAUGUCAGAUGGGCCCCUGGGAUAACUUAUUAAACUCAUUUGGCCCGUAGAUUUCCCGGUGCCAGUUGGGAGCGUUCCUAAAGCCUUCUGACUGAACUGCCUGUACAGUAAGUCACACUGGUGGGAACAUUGGUAAACAGAGUCUUUACAUGAAUUCCUCAUACUCCCUAUGCUCACCAACAUACGCAAAUAAUGACAAAUCUACGCUGCAUUAAUCAGCUGUGAGGAAAAAUGAUUGAGUUGUUCAUAUCUUCAAAAAAACUUAUUUUAUCUAGUUUAUAUGUUUCAGUGGGGACAAAGGGAAUAAGGACACACGUUGUGGCUUAAGAACGGCAAUCUCUCUAAACAUGGAGGACUUACUAAAUCGAUAUCCAAGCUUUGGCUGUUUGUCGUCAGAAAUUGAAAUCACCAUGAAAACCUAAAUGUCAGACAAUGAGCCGAUGCUUUACCGCGAGCCCGGAGGCAAACAUAUCAUGGUCUGUUAGAAGUCAAAGUAAAAGUCAGAGGUAAUGUCCAAUACAGUUUGCUUGCUUCAUGUUUUUGCCCUGACAAAAUAUAUAUAUAAUAAUAUUGCAUGAUUUUGCAGUGGGGGAGAGUUGCAUUGUUGUUCGCCCUGCAACCAUGCCAUUAAAUAUUUAUACUCCUUGCUUUGAACCCUUCUGCAAUGACUCUCACCUUUAUUUCUGACCCUUUGUCCCUAUCUCUCUCUUGAGAGCGUCUGUGGUUGAAAUGAUUGAUCAAACGAACCCAGUGGCAGCUUGGACUCACCGGAAAUAUCCCAAGAUGACAACCGCCACCAUGAGUGAUCCCAGAGAAAUGGAGUACCCCACUGUGUAGAUGAGAUACAGGCGGUGAAAAACAUCCUGUCGGGAGAUGAAAUUGAUAGAAUGUCAACAGGGCAGCAAAUGGAUGAAUAGAUACACAAAGACUGAGAGGACGACAGCCGAUCCUCCCCUUGACCGUAUUGAACGGAAAUCCUGCAGGUUCGGGUCAAAUAACUGCAGUUUUGUAAAGACAAAACUUUAGUUUUCUUCUCUUUUUGCAACCAUGAUAGGAAACAAUUCUGAAAUAUUGCAUAGCCAGUGCACUGUGCUGGCUGCACCCAUUAAAGGAGAAACCCCUUUAGGAGAAAAACAUA
Long non-coding RNA from Scophthalmus maximus (turbot), 1480 nucleotides. RefSeq lists it as uncharacterized. Lineage: Eukaryota; Metazoa; Chordata; Actinopteri; Pleuronectiformes; Scophthalmidae. The transcript is spliced from 2 exons. The record is from RefSeq and is a predicted model, not a curated record.